GAAUAUCUGCCACCGGGUAGGAAUGUAGAUACGCGUAUCCAAGCAUUCGCGGCACAUCGUUAGGUCUUUGAAGAUGUGUCUCGGAUGCUUUUUUAAU
Molecule: non-coding RNA, 97 nt
Filed under: unclassified sequences
Source: RNAcentral